CCCUUUCUCUCCUCCCAGGCAUGCCCAGCAUGCCCCUCUCUCUCUCCUCCCUAGAAGGACGAUAACUUCAGCAUGUGUUUCAGGGUGAACCACCUCGGUCAUUACCUCCUGACCAACCUGCUACUGGGUCGUCAGAAGGAUUCAGUCCCCAGCCUGCUACUGGGUCGUCAGAAGGAUUCGGCCCCCAACCUGCUACUGGGUCGUCUGAAGAAUUCAGCCCCCAACCUGCUACUGGGUUGUCGAAAGAAUUCGGCCCCCAGGCUACUACUGGGUCGUCUGAAGGAUUCGGGGCCCCCAGCCUGCUCCAGGGUCGUCUGAAGGAUUCGGCACCCAGCCUGCUCCAGGGUCAUCUGAAGGAUUAGGCCCGCAGCCUGCCCCUGGGUCGUCUGAAGGAUUUGGCCCUCAGCUGUGUGGUCACGCCCACCUGUUACAACUACAAGUAUCGGAAUAGGCCCACCCACUGGGGAGCCGGGCCCAGGCCCUCCGAAUGAGUUUUUCCCCACAAAAAAGGCUUUAUUACAGAUAUCAAUUCUGUUCAGUUUCAUCAGUUGUCCUGGUGGCUGGUCUCAGACGAUUCCGCAGGUGUAGAAGCCGAGUGUGGAGGUGCUGGGCUGGCGUGAUUACACGUGGUCUGUGGUUGUGAGGCCGGUUGGACGUAUUGCUAAAUUCUCUAAAACGAGAUUGGAGGUGGCUUAUGGUAGAAAAAUGUGCAUUAAAUUCUCUGGCAAUAGCUCUGGUGGACAUUCCUGCAGUCAGUGUGCCAAUUGCACACUCCCUCAACUUGAGACAUUAGUAACCGGAAGGUUGCAAGAUCGAAUCCCUGAGCUGACAAGAGCAGCUGGAUCUACUACUACUACGCCAUCCUGUUUCGUAUGUUGAUGCCAUGUGAGACGGGCGUCUCAGACCAUUGUGUACUGCGCCGUGUCGGACGAGGCCGCCAAGCACAAUGGGGGAUACUUCACUGACUGCUGGCCAGCCACGCUGAGACCGCUCGCCAGGGACACUGGCAUGGCCAAGAAACUGCGUGAGGCCAGCAAGAGGCUGGUCAAACUGGCCGGAGAAACUGGAAUGAUUAAAUUAAACUGAAGCUUUGGAAGCAAACAAUGUGUGGGAAUCUCAUAUUUUGGUCAAACAAGCCCAAAAAAUUGUUUUUGUUUUGUUCUUAAUAAUUUGUUGGUUUUGAAUUUGUCUUCGGGGGACUUAAUUCACUAUAAUGUCAGGUUUUUUUUAUGGAUUAUUGAACAUUUUAUGGUUUGCCCUUGGAUUGUUGACCUCAAACACUUGAAUGAUGAAUGAUGACAUGUAAAACAUGGCUGCUUUUCCUUCUGUUGUAAAUAACCUCUGAAAAGAAAUUCUGUGGCAAUACAAUGCUGUGUGAUGUCUUAUUAGGAUAGUGGUAUGGUUUACCUCCAUGAGUAUUCAGAGGAUGGAGGUUUAGACAACACAGACAACCAGGGGUGGGACACUUAAAGUCAAUGAUUAAAACCUUUUAACAAAUUCCAAAAUCUAACAGCACCAUCUACAGGAAACAAGCAGGUGCUGGAAUGUAUAUUUUGUUGACCUGAGAUAGCAAUAAGUGGAAAGGAAAGUAAAUGUUUAACAUUGCUUAUGAGAGCCGAGUCACCAUUACAGGGUGUGGACAUUACAGAGACGUCCCCCGAUCAACUGGAAUAAUCACAUUUCUUAUUUCAUUUGACUUGAUGUUUCACUUCAUGUUAGUUAUGGAAAGUGGUGGUUGUUCUAGUGACGCUUGAUACGUUUUUUGUUUGUUUUGAAAAUCAUAGUAUACUUGUCACGUUCUGACCUUAGUUCUGUUAUAUCCGUGUUUUAGUAUGGUCAGAGCAUGAGUUGGGUGAGUUGUCUAUGUUAGUUUUUCUAUGAUUUGGUAUUUCUGUGUUCGGCCUAGUAUGAUUCUCAAUCAGAGGCAGCUGUCAAUCGUUGUCCCUGAUUGAGAAUCAUACUUAGAUAGCCUGGUUUCACUUUUGAGUUGUGGGUGUUUGUUUUCCGUGUCAGUGUUUGUUACCACACGGGACUGUUUUGUUUGUUCACUUCGUUUAUUGUUUUG
Molecule: long non-coding RNA, 2065 nt
Organism: Oncorhynchus tshawytscha (Chinook salmon)
Lineage: Eukaryota; Metazoa; Chordata; Actinopteri; Salmoniformes; Salmonidae
Source: Ensembl